Molecule: long non-coding RNA, 1862 nt
Filed under: Linum usitatissimum (flax)
Lineage: Eukaryota; Viridiplantae; Streptophyta; Magnoliopsida; Malpighiales; Linaceae
Description: long non-coding RNA (LUSI_LNC008109)
Source: RNAcentral
UUGGUGUUAUGGACAUGCUCCGAUUCCACUUGUUCACUAUAGGUAAACAUAUAGGUUUCAGAUUCAUCCAAGUUGCUUCUAACCACCGUAAUCAUUCUCAAACUGAAAUUCUUGUUUCUCUAGGCCAUGCUUGGAUUUCUGAAUAUGGCUGUUCAGAAAACGACCAACAGUUCAAUUGGCUGAUCAAGUAAGACAUGAUAUUACUUAAUAAAAAAAACGAAAAAAGAAUGAUGAUCAGUUUAUCAUACAUUACCUGAGAGUUUGCUCUGUGACAAUUUGAUCAGGUACUCUCCACUGCACAAUGUGAGGAGACCUUGGGAAAUGAACACUGAUGAGGCAAUUCAGUACCCUCCCACCAUGUUGCUUACUGCCGAUCACGACGAUCGAGUUGUUCCAUUACACUCUCUGAAGUUGUUGGCGGUGACUGAUCGACUUUUCCCUCCAAUUCUCUCGACUGGAGACAUAACUGUAUCAUGGUUUCUUGACUUUUCUUAUUUUAUGCAGACGUUGCAGAGUGUUCUGAUCACCAGCUUGGAGAAGAGUCCCCAAACCAACCCAAUAAUUGGCCGGAUUGAUCAGAAAUCAGGCCACGGGUAUGGCCGUCCCACUCAGAAAGAGGUAAGCUUUUUUACACUUAUUGAAUUGAUUUCUUCUCUACUUAUCUGUGGGCUAUUAAUUCAACUGUGUGUUUGACAGAUUGAUAUAGCUGCCGACUGUUAUGGGUUCAUGGCGAAGAUGAUGAAUUUGGAGUGGACUGACUAGGAAACAUAAAAUCGCAUCCAGUUGAAUUCAUUAGUACUGUUGUACAAUGGUUUCUAGUAUAAGGAUAUGAUAAUAAGCAGCUGUUACAAGGUCUUGUAAGAUGGAAUAAACAGUGCAAUUCUACAAUUUGUUCUAAUCAUGUGUAAUUUGUGUACGAUGAAAUUAAAAAAUAUUGAGACUUUGAUGAAAAUCACAACCUGUGUUGUAGAAGUAAUUUCAAAAUCGAGCUUCUGUACCGAAGAAUUCGGAUUUGCUGGAUUCGGAUUACCUUUUCGGAGCCUAUAUAUAAAUCUUCCGAUUAGGGUUUCUUUCUUUGUAUUAUUGUAAAGCCUAAACCUAAAUGGAGAGGUUACCGGAUGAGCUACUCACAGAGAUAUUACGGUGGAUGCCACUGGAGGAAGCCGCAACAACAAGCCUUGUUUCGAAGCGAUGGCGAUACGCCUGGAGAAACCCACCAAAUCCUCAAUUCGACGACAACAAGAUAACUAAAUUCAGGAGCGAUGGCUAUCCCGUCUCUUACUUCCAAAGCCUCCACGAUUUCUACACGUGGAUGGACGAGAUUAUCCGCCAUGUGGAAUAGAAGAACAAGGAGACUGAUUUCUGGAUUGAAUCUCAAUUUCAAGCCAGAUGAGGAAUAUGAAGAGGAAGAUGAAGAAGACAGAUAUGAAUGGGUUGAAUUUAGGAAUUCAGACGACUCCCUAAUAAUCGGCGGAUUCAGAAUUGUGCGUCUCUUGUCAUUGUCGACCGUCCUGGAAUCAAUCUGAUCUUCGUGCUUUCUCGGCGUCGGCGGCCGUAUCUCCUGAAAACCCCGACUCUAGGCAACUGUGAUAUGGAAAUACUGAAGAGUGAACUAGUAUUCGGAGCAAACGGAGACAGUUUCAGGUCUCUGGAAUCACUGGUUUUUUACUGCGGUGGGAAAGAAAUACAUUUUGAUAUGAUAAUAAGCUUCAUCCUAGGUCUUCCGUCUGUGAUGAGCAUCACGUUGGAGCAGUGCAUACUUACCGAUGAAGACCAACCAAACCUCAAUAAAAGUAGGAUCGAGUUUUCCUUGUCUCAAAAGAGGCAGAUUACUAGCCUUCGAUUCUUCAGUAAAAAUUUCC